UGAUGUUUGAGGCCAUGAGAGAAACUCUAAAUAGGUCUAAGGCUCACCUGUCUUAUGGUAUAGCACUCACCCUGAUCUUUAGGAGGUUUGGAGUCUGUUUUGAGGGGGAGGCAGUCAUCAAGUUAUCACACUCUGAUACCAUCAACCGCCACUCACUGCACCGCAUGAAUUUCUCAAAGACUGAUGGCGGUUGGUCGAAGGGUGUUGAGG
This 210-nucleotide long non-coding RNA is filed under the name Elaeis guineensis (African oil palm). RNAcentral's name for it is "long non-coding RNA (EGUI_LNC056272)". The record is from RNAcentral. Lineage: Eukaryota; Viridiplantae; Streptophyta; Magnoliopsida; Arecales; Arecaceae.